UCCAGGGUAGCCUAGUGGACAUGGCAUCUGCCCGGUAAGCGGAACAUUAUGGGUUCGAUUCCCAUCCCUGAAC
RNAcentral lists this transfer RNA (73 nucleotides) under Cordylochernes scorpioides. RNAcentral's name for it is "tRNA-Thr". It matches the Rfam family "tRNA". Rfam says of the family: Transfer RNA (tRNA) molecules are approximately 80 nucleotides in length. Their secondary structure includes four short double-helical elements and three loops (D, anti-codon, and T loops). The record is from RNAcentral. Lineage: Eukaryota; Metazoa; Arthropoda; Arachnida; Pseudoscorpiones; Chernetidae.